Non-coding RNA from Rhizobium sp. Root482, 65 nucleotides. The record is from Rfam. NCBI's taxonomy places the organism in Bacteria, Pseudomonadati, Pseudomonadota, Alphaproteobacteria, Hyphomicrobiales, Rhizobiaceae.
UUCAGGAGAGUCUUGGGUGUCAGGCUCAUAACCUGAAGGCGCAGGUUCAAAUCCUGCCCCCGCAA